GACGAACGCUGGCGGCGUGCUUAACACAUGCAAGUCGAACGGAAAGGCCCUGCUUUUGUGGGGUGCUCGAGUGGCGAACGGGUGAGUAACACGUGAGAACCCGUCCUUGCCUUUGGGAUAACGUCAGGCAACUGGGGCUAAUACCGGGUAGGAGCCUCUGCUGCAUGGUGGGGGAUGGAAAGUUUCGGCGGUUGGGGAUGGACGCGCGGCUUAUCAGCUUGUUGGUGGGGUAGUGGCUUACCAAGGCUUUGACGGGUAGCCGGCCUGGGAGGGUGACCGGCCACAUUGGGACUGAGAUACGGCCCAGACUCCUCCGGGAGGCAGCAGUGGGGAAUAUUGCACAAUGGGCGGAAGCCUGAUGCAGCAACGCCGCGUGCGGGAUGACGGCCUUCGGGUUGUAAACCGCUUUCGCCUGUGACGAAGCGUGAGUGACGGUAAUGGGUAAAGAAGCACCGGCUAACUACGUG
Molecule: ribosomal RNA, 467 nt
Filed under: uncultured bacterium
Lineage: Bacteria
Description: partial 16S ribosomal RNA
Rfam family: Bacterial small subunit ribosomal RNA
Source: RNAcentral